UGAAAGACUUAUUCUAUUUUUCUGAACUAUGCUGAACUAUUGAACUAUUUUUAUUUUUAUUUUUGUAGAGUUAGCCGGAGAGAGAGGAAGUGUUAGCUGACCCAGGGAUGGAUGUACUAUGUGUGUUUUUGAUAUAUGUUGAGUGUGCCAAGGAUGGAUUCCCAUGUUUUGAGGAACUGCGUGAGGAUAUGACUGGUUUUGGCUGGACCUUUG
Molecule: long non-coding RNA, 213 nt
Filed under: Pelobates cultripes (western spadefoot toad)
Lineage: Eukaryota; Metazoa; Chordata; Amphibia; Anura; Pelobatidae
Source: RNAcentral